GGCCGGCCCCAGUGCAGUGGGGUUACAGCUCAUUGAUCAUAACCAGCUACACAUUUCUUUGUUUCUUCUUCACUUCCACCGCUCCCCUUAACUAGCGUUAU
RNAcentral lists this non-coding RNA (101 nucleotides) under Otolemur garnettii (small-eared galago). Lineage: Eukaryota; Metazoa; Chordata; Mammalia; Primates; Galagidae. The record is from RNAcentral.